This 77-nucleotide transfer RNA is filed under the name Clostridiales bacterium. Its description in RNAcentral is "tRNA-Arg". It matches the Rfam family "tRNA". Rfam says of the family: Transfer RNA (tRNA) molecules are approximately 80 nucleotides in length. Their secondary structure includes four short double-helical elements and three loops (D, anti-codon, and T loops). Further hydrogen bonds mediate the characteristic L-shaped molecular structure. tRNAs have two regions of fundamental functional importance: the anti-codon, which is responsible for specific mRNA codon recognition, and the 3' end, to which the tRNAs corresponding amino acid is attached (by aminoacyl-tRNA synthetases). tRNAs cope with the degeneracy of the genetic code in two manners: having more than one tRNA (with a specific anti-codon) for a particular amino acid; and 'wobble' base-pairing, i.e. permitting non-standard base-pairing at the 3rd anti-codon position. RNAcentral also lists the same sequence under 1 other name. Lineage: Bacteria; Bacillati; Bacillota; Clostridia; Eubacteriales. The record is from RNAcentral.
GCGCUUGUAGCUCAGCUGGAUAGAGUACCUGGCUACGAACCAGUAGGUCGGGGGUUCGAAUCCCUCCAAGCGCGCCA